GCAGCCAAGCUGGUGAUGAAGAUCACAUGCACUGUGUCACAUCACAAAACAUAACUGGAAGGGAAGGCAGACUGAAUUCUGCAAGUGGACAAAACCCAUCUUCUCUCUGCUUCUCAAACGCUGAAAAGCUGAUGAUCCACUUCUUAAAGAGGUGGGGAUAAGGACUUAAAAUCACCACUUUUAAGACCAAAUGGAGCCCAGUUUCUGCUUUGCUUCAUGCUUCCCAGGUGUCCACAGGAAAAGUAUUGUAUCCCUGGCAUCCUGAGCAGCUGCUCCAGGGAGGGGUGGAUACAGUCAAGAUACAGUCUUUAGCCAUGCUGCCCUGUCACAGCAAUUUCUUCUAAGCUCCUGCAAAUUAUUCCAUUUGAGAACAUGGCACAGUGCAAAUGUGAAACAAAACAUGAAAAGAAAGGAGGUA
Molecule: long non-coding RNA, 418 nt
Organism: Vidua chalybeata
Lineage: Eukaryota; Metazoa; Chordata; Aves; Passeriformes; Viduidae
Exons: 3
Source: RefSeq, a predicted model, not a curated record